GUCAAGUCAUCAUGGCCCUUACGUCCAGGGCGACACACGUGCUGCAAUGGCCGGUACAGAGGGCAGCGAGGCCGCGAGGCGGAGCGAAUCCCAGAAAACCGGUCCAAGUUCGGAUCGCAGUCUGCAACUCGACUGCGUGAAGCCGGAAUCGCUAGUAAUCGCGGAUCAGCCAUGCCGCGGUGAAUACGUUCCCGGGCCUU
Molecule: ribosomal RNA, 200 nt
Filed under: uncultured organism
Description: partial small subunit ribosomal RNA
Rfam family: Bacterial small subunit ribosomal RNA
Source: RNAcentral